Molecule: signal recognition particle RNA, 84 nt
Filed under: bovine gut metagenome
Also listed under: 1 other name
Description: Bacterial small signal recognition particle RNA
Rfam family: Bacterial small signal recognition particle RNA
About the family: The signal recognition particle (SRP) is a universally conserved ribonucleoprotein involved in the co-translational targeting of proteins to membranes. Archaeal SRP consists of a 7S RNA and homologues of the eukaryotic SRP19 and SRP54 proteins.
Source: RNAcentral
UGGUCUCGCGCAAUGCGACGCUGCGAACCGUGUCAGGUCGGGAACGAAGCAGCACUAAGCAGAUGCUCCAUGUGCCGUGAGGGC